Molecule: unclassified non-coding RNA, 124 nt
Filed under: uncultured Rozellomycota
Lineage: Eukaryota; Fungi; Rozellomycota
Description: uncultured Cryptomycota sequence contains ITS1
Source: RNAcentral
ACAAAUCCUGCUGCAGUGCCCUCUUUGGGGUGCUGUAGUAUAUUAACUCGGUCCAGGCCGCAAGGUUUGGGCUGAUAAAUUAAUGUGUGUAAUGUUGACAAUGUGUGUGAGAUUAAUUAGUAGA